Trichechus manatus latirostris (Florida manatee) is the source of this 92-nucleotide small nucleolar RNA. RefSeq annotates it as small nucleolar RNA SNORD116. NCBI's taxonomy places the organism in Eukaryota, Metazoa, Chordata, Mammalia, Sirenia, Trichechidae. The transcript has a single exon. The record is from RefSeq and is a predicted model, not a curated record.
GGAUCGAUGAUGACUUCCACAUAUACAUUCCUUGGAAAUCUGAGAAAAAUGCGUGAAAACCCCCCACCCUCUCACUCAUCGACCUGAGGUGC